RNAcentral lists this transfer RNA (84 nucleotides) under Candidatus Woesearchaeota archaeon. RNAcentral's name for it is "tRNA-Ser". It matches the Rfam family "tRNA". Rfam says of the family: Transfer RNA (tRNA) molecules are approximately 80 nucleotides in length. Their secondary structure includes four short double-helical elements and three loops (D, anti-codon, and T loops). Further hydrogen bonds mediate the characteristic L-shaped molecular structure. tRNAs have two regions of fundamental functional importance: the anti-codon, which is responsible for specific mRNA codon recognition, and the 3' end, to which the tRNAs corresponding amino acid is attached (by aminoacyl-tRNA synthetases). tRNAs cope with the degeneracy of the genetic code in two manners: having more than one tRNA (with a specific anti-codon) for a particular amino acid; and 'wobble' base-pairing, i.e. permitting non-standard base-pairing at the 3rd anti-codon position. The record is from RNAcentral. Lineage: Archaea; Nanobdellati; Candidatus Woesearchaeota.
GCCAGCGUCGCAUAAUCCGGUAGUGCGGUCGCCUCGAAAGCGACUGUCCGCAAGGACUUUCAGGUUCAAAUCCUGGCGCUGGCG